RNAcentral lists this ribosomal RNA (256 nucleotides) under uncultured bacterium. RNAcentral's name for it is "partial 16S ribosomal RNA". It matches the Rfam family "Bacterial small subunit ribosomal RNA", at positions 1236 to 1500 of the family's 1533-position model. The record is from RNAcentral.
UGGACAAAGGGCAGCUACACAGCGAUGUGAUGCUAAUCUCCAAACCAUGUCUCAGUUCGGAUCGGAGUCUGCAACUCGACUCCGUGAAGCUGGAUUCGCUAGUAAUCGCGCAUCAGCCAUGGCGCGGUGAAUACGUUCCCGGGCCUUGUACACACCGCCCGUCAAGCCAUGGGAGCCGGGGGUACCUGAAGUCCGUAACCGCGAGGAUCGGCCUAGGGUAAAACUGGUGACUGGGGCUAAGUCGUAACAAGGUAAC